CAUCCUUGAACAACCUCACGAAAACGAUCCCUUCCGGCAUCACAACUGCUACUGCCUCCUCCCUCCACACUGCUGUCGCCGGAAAAUCUACAUCGUUUUCUCCGAGAGAAGGGGCAUUGUCGUUUUCUUUGGGGUUGAAGAGCCGAUAACCCACUUCGUUCUGUGUUCCACCCAAAGCAACGAGAUUAAGGCUCGAUUUUACUUUGCAGCUGCAAGUUAAGGCUCGAUUUCACUUUGCAGCUGCGAGUUAAGGUUUGGGUGGCAUACUAAGAAUCAAGUUGGCUAAAUGCUUUCAUUUCGAUUGUUUUAUUGAUAUGCUAUGGCAGGAAAAUAAUUGGAGCUAGAUACUAUCUAAAGGGAUAUGAGGCAUAUUAUGGACCUCUAAAUAACACACAGGAUUAUCGAUCACCCCGAGAGAAACCACAAGGUACGUACAUAUCGAAUUUGAUUCCUGCUGUCUAAUUUUUCUUCCCUGAUCCAUACAUAGGGGCAUAUGGUGACUCCAUUUAAGCUGGGCAAGAUGUACCCACUAGUUUAUGUCGGAAACUUAGAAAUUCCCGAUACAACCCCCAAAGACAAGACCGGGUAAUUUUCUUCCU
Molecule: long non-coding RNA, 599 nt
Organism: Rhododendron vialii
Lineage: Eukaryota; Viridiplantae; Streptophyta; Magnoliopsida; Ericales; Ericaceae
Exons: 4
Source: RefSeq, a predicted model, not a curated record